Gopherus evgoodei (Goodes thornscrub tortoise) is the source of this 173-nucleotide long non-coding RNA. RefSeq lists it as uncharacterized. The transcript has 3 exons. The record is from RefSeq and is a predicted model, not a curated record. Lineage: Eukaryota; Metazoa; Chordata; Testudines; Testudinidae.
GAGGCACAGGCGGAGUUGACGGGGGAGCAGCAGUAGUCAGCUCACCGUGGUGAAGACCCCACGGUAAGUCGAUCCAAGUACGUCAACUUCAACUAUGUUAUUUAUGUAGCUGAAGUUGUAUAACUUAGAUCGAUUCCCCCCCACACCCGCCGCAGUCCAACCCCACCCCAGUG